UAUAUCACUAAGCAACUGGCAGAGCGGAGCAGUUUGCAGGACAGUUGGAGCAGCUCACAGAACGCGGAGCAGAGCAGAGCUGAGCAGUUUGCAGGACGGUUGGACCGGCCCAUGGAACAGAGAUCGAGCGGAGCGAGCAGAGCAGUUUGCGGGGACGGCUGGAGCGGCUCACAGGUCAGCUGGUGGAGUGGAGCUGUUCGUGGUGAAGGCGGCAGCAGAACUCCAUAGAGAGGCGGGGUAGUCAGCCUCGGACCACGUUUACUCCAAGGAUGAAUCUGGCCUGCUAGGACUAUGGCAAGAAAGACCAAUCUGCUUUCCAAACCAGGCAGCAUCUCCAUAACAGCACAUCUCAUCGGAGACCCACAUUCAGCGUUCCUCUAGACCUGAUCUUUUAUAAGUUCACUGUGGGAAUUAGCAGCUGGACCAUGCCUUCUGACUGGAACGAUGCCUUUAGCUCUGCCUCAGACAUCAC
Long non-coding RNA from Mauremys reevesii (Reeves's turtle), 472 nucleotides. RefSeq lists it as uncharacterized. NCBI's taxonomy places the organism in Eukaryota, Metazoa, Chordata, Testudines, Geoemydidae. The transcript has 3 exons. The record is from RefSeq and is a predicted model, not a curated record.